CCAGACAGAUGGGAAGGCAGGAUGAGAACCGCAGGUUCGACCCGAGUGCCUCGUGCGAGGGAACGAACGAGCGGAAGCGAGGUCGGCCCCGUAGGGGUGAGGUGCAACGCACCGAGUAAUCCUGCCGCCCCAGCCA
This 136-nucleotide small RNA is filed under the name Mariprofundaceae bacterium. Its description in RNAcentral is "RtT sRNA". It matches the Rfam family "RtT RNA". Rfam says of the family: This family represents a bacterial cis-regulatory element known as RtT RNA. The exact function of RtT is unknown although it is thought that it may be involved in changing the cellular response in relation to amino acid starvation. The record is from RNAcentral. Lineage: Bacteria; Pseudomonadati; Pseudomonadota; Candidatius Mariprofundia; Mariprofundales; Mariprofundaceae.